UCGGCCCACGGCGAUGGAGUUCGCCGAGCCUUCCCGAUUCCGGGUGAACUAAACUGCCUACCCUCCGGUACUGGCUGAUGACUCCUGCCAACAU
RNAcentral lists this non-coding RNA (94 nucleotides) under Spirochaetota bacterium. Its description in RNAcentral is "Spirochaetes bacterium Fluoride sequence". It matches the Rfam family "Fluoride riboswitch aptamer (crcB RNA motif)". Lineage: Bacteria; Pseudomonadati; Spirochaetota. The record is from RNAcentral.